Molecule: ribosomal RNA, 450 nt
Filed under: uncultured bacterium
Lineage: Bacteria
Description: bacterial SSU rRNA
Rfam family: Bacterial small subunit ribosomal RNA
Source: RNAcentral
UCGAACGAGAAAGUGGAGCAAUCCAUGAGUACAGUGGCGACCGGGUGAGUAACACGUGACCAACCUGCCCUCGAGUGGGGAACAACAGCGGGAAACCGCUGCUAAUACCGCAUAACAUCCUUGAGUCGGAAGACUUGGGGAUCAAAGGAGCAAUUCGCUUGAGGAGGGGGUCGCGGCUGAUUAGCCAGUUGGCGGGGUAAUGGCCCACCAAGGCAAAGAUCGGUAUCCGGCCUGAGAGGGCGCACGGACACACUGGAACUGAAACACGGUCCAGACUCCUACGGGAGGCAGCAGUGGGGAAUUUUGCGCAAUGGGGGAAACCCUGACGCAGCAACGCCGCGUGGAGGAUGAAGUCCCUUGGGACGUAAACUCCUUUCGACCGGGACGAUAAUGACGGUUCUGAGGAAGGACACCGGCUAUCUGAGGCGCCGCAUCGGGGGUCAUACUUUG